GUCCGUGAACUGGGGGGAACUGUCUCCCCCUCCAGAUCCGGCAGCGGGAUCACCCGCCUAUUUUUGUCCAGAAGGAG
Regulatory RNA element from Desulfuromonas sp. DDH964, 77 nucleotides. It matches the Rfam family "L20-Deltaproteobacteria ribosomal protein leader". NCBI's taxonomy places the organism in Bacteria, Pseudomonadati, Thermodesulfobacteriota, Desulfuromonadia, Desulfuromonadales, Desulfuromonadaceae. The record is from Rfam.